This 301-nucleotide ribosomal RNA is filed under the name uncultured bacterium. RNAcentral's name for it is "partial 16S ribosomal RNA". It matches the Rfam family "Bacterial small subunit ribosomal RNA", at positions 509 to 809 of the family's 1533-position model. The record is from RNAcentral.
CAGCAGCCACGGGAAUACAGAGGGUGCGAGCGUUAAUCGGAUUUACUGGGCGUAAAGCGUGCGUAGGCGGCUUCUUAAGUCGGAUGUGAAAUCCCUGAGCUUAACUUAGGAAUUGCAUUCGAUACUGGGAAGCUAGAGUAUGGGAGAGGAUGGUAGAAUUCCAGGUGUAGCGGUGAAAUGCGUAGAGAUCUGGAGGAAUACCGAUGGCGAAGGCAGCCAUCUGGCCUAAUACUGACGCUGAGGUACGAAAGCAUGGGGAGCAAACAGGAUUAGAUACCCCAGUAGUCCCUGUCUCUUAUAU